GAUGAACGCUGGCGGCGUGCUUAACACAUGCAAGUCGAACGGAAAGGCUCCUGCUUGCAGGGGUACUCGAGUGGCGAACGGGUGAGUAACACGUGGGUGAUCUGCCCUGCACUUCGGGAUAAGCCUGGGAAACUGGGUCUAAUACCGGAUAGGACCACAUUUUGGAUGGUGUGGUGGAAAGUUUUUCGGUGUGGGAUGAGCUCGCGGCCUAUCAGCUUGUUGGUGGGGUAAUGGCCUACCAAGGCGUCGACGGGUAGCCGGCCUGACAGGGUGUACGGCCACAUUGGGACUGAGGUACGGCCCAGACUCCUACGGGAGGCAGCAGUGGGGAAUAUUCCACAAUGGGCGCAAGCCUGAUGCAGCGACGCCGCGUGGGGGAUGACGGCCUUCGGGUUGUAUACUCCUUUCGCUAGGGACGAAGCGCAAGUGACGGUACCUGGAGAAGAAGCACCGGCUAACUACGUG
This 465-nucleotide ribosomal RNA is filed under the name uncultured bacterium. RNAcentral describes it as "partial 16S ribosomal RNA". It matches the Rfam family "Bacterial small subunit ribosomal RNA", at positions 28 to 507 of the family's 1533-position model. The record is from RNAcentral.